CUGUCUCAACGAGAGACUCGGUGAAAUUAUAUUGUCCGUGAAGAUGCGGACUACCCGCGACAGGACGGAAAGACCCCAUGGAGCUUUACUGUAGCUUGAUAUUGAGUGUUUGUACAGCUUGUACAGGAUAGGUAGGAGCCAUAGAAACCGGAACGCUAGUUUCGGUGGAGGCGUUGGUGGGAUACUACCCUCGCUGUAUGACCACUCUAACCCGCACCACUAAUCGUGGUGGGAGACAGUGUCAGGUGGGCAGUUUGACUGGGGCGGUCGCCUCCUAAAAAGUAACGGAGGCGCCCAAAGGUUCCCUCAGAAUGGUUGGAAAUCAUUCGCAGAGUGUAAAGGCACAAGGGAGCUUGACUGCGAGACAGACAGGUCGAGCAGGGACGAAAGUCGGGCUUAGUGAUCCGGUGGUACCGUAUGGAAGGGCCAUCGCUCAACGGAUAAAAGCUACCCUGGGGAUAACAGGCUUAUCUCCCCCAAGAGUCCACAUCGACGGGGAGGUUUGGCACCUCGAUGUCGGCUCAUCGCAUCCUGGGGCUGUAGUCGGUCCCAAGGGUUGGGCUGUUCGCCCAUUAAAGCGGUACGCGAGCUGGGUUCAGAACGUCGUGAGACAGUUCGGUCCCUAUCCGUCGCGGGCGUAGGAAAUUUGAGAGGACCUGUCCUUAGUACGAGAGGACCGGGAUGGACAUACCUCUGGUGUACCAGUUGUGCCGCCAGGCGCAUCGCUGGGUAGCUACGUAUGGAUGUGAUAAACGCUGAAAGCAUCUAAGUGUGAAACACACCUCGAGAUGAGAUUUCCCAUUCCUUUAUGGAAGUAAGACCCCUGAAAGAUGAUCAGGUAGAUAGGUUAGAAGUGGCAGUGCGGUGACGCAUGAAGCGGACUAAUACUAAUCGGUCGAGGACUUAACCAAG
Molecule: ribosomal RNA, 912 nt
Filed under: Lactiplantibacillus plantarum
Lineage: Bacteria; Bacillati; Bacillota; Bacilli; Lactobacillales; Lactobacillaceae
Description: bacterial LSU rRNA
Rfam family: Bacterial large subunit ribosomal RNA
Source: RNAcentral